AGGGUUUGAUUCUGGCUCAGGACGAACGCUGGCGGCGUGCCUAACACAUGCAAGUCGAACGGAGAUAAGCGCUGAUGAUUUAGCUUGCUAGAGAUUCUUGUUUAUCUUAGUGGCGGACGGGUGAGUAACGCGUGAGCAACCUGCCUUUCAGAGGGGGAUAACGUCUUGAAAAGGACGCUAAUACCGCAUGAUAUUAUGGAGCCACAUGGCUCUAUAAUCAAAGGAGCAAUCCGCUGAAAGAUGGGCUCGCGUCCGAUUAGGUAGUUGGCGGGAUAACAGCCCACCAAGCCGACGAUCGGUAGCCGGACUGAGAGGUUGAACGGCCACAUUGGGACUGAGACACGGCCCAG
This 350-nucleotide ribosomal RNA is filed under the name uncultured bacterium. RNAcentral's name for it is "bacterial SSU rRNA". It matches the Rfam family "Bacterial small subunit ribosomal RNA", at positions 8 to 334 of the family's 1533-position model. The record is from RNAcentral.